GGAGGUGGACGUGGAUGACGAGGACGAUGACGACGAUGAUGAAGGAGGGAUGGAGGAGGACGUUGCUUGGUUGCCGGCUCCGGUAAUGUUCUGAGACACGUUGAUGGUGGAGGAGGAAGACGAGUAGGAGGAUGCAGGCGGCAAUGACGAGGAGGACGGCGGCGGCAAUGUCGAGGAGGAGGAGUACGGGGGCGGCAAUGAUGAGGAAGAGGAGUACGGCGGCGGCAAAGACGAGGAGGAUGAUUGGUUGCCAGCUGUGGUAAUGUUCUGAGACGUGCUGAUGUCGGACGAGGGUGACGACGAGGAUGGCGGCAACGGAGAGGACGAGGAGGUGGUCGGAUUGCCAGUUCCAGUAUUGUCGUAGGAGUUUGAUGAG
RNAcentral lists this long non-coding RNA (376 nucleotides) under Musa acuminata (dwarf banana). RNAcentral's name for it is "long non-coding RNA (MACU_LNC004944)". The record is from RNAcentral. Lineage: Eukaryota; Viridiplantae; Streptophyta; Magnoliopsida; Zingiberales; Musaceae.